This 323-nucleotide non-coding RNA is filed under the name Ixodes scapularis (black-legged tick). Its description in RNAcentral is "Eukaryotic large subunit ribosomal RNA". It matches the Rfam family "Eukaryotic large subunit ribosomal RNA", at positions 675 to 954 of the family's 3401-position model. Lineage: Eukaryota; Metazoa; Arthropoda; Arachnida; Ixodida; Ixodidae. The record is from Rfam by way of RNAcentral.
CUAACAUGUGCGCGAGUCAAUGGGUCCCUCAAAACCCAGAGGCGCAUGAAACGUGAAGGCGCGGCCUCGAUCGUGCCGUGCGAGUUGCGAUCCCGGGCCGCCCAGGGUCCGAUGAAGGGAGCAGCAACGGCCCGCCCCACACGCUCACGUCGUGGGGGCGGCGCUAGAGCGCACACGUUGACACCCGAAAGAUGGUGAACUAUGCCCGGGCAGGACGAGGCCAGAGGAAACUCUGGUGGAGGCCCGAAGCGCUUCUGAUGUGCAAAUCGAUCGCCCGACCCAGGUGUAGCGGCGAAAGACUAAUCAAACCAACUAGUAGCUGG